Molecule: ribosomal RNA, 460 nt
Filed under: uncultured Bacteroidota bacterium
Lineage: Bacteria; Pseudomonadati; Bacteroidota
Description: bacterial SSU rRNA
Rfam family: Bacterial small subunit ribosomal RNA
Source: RNAcentral
CCUACGGGGGGCUGCAGUGAGGAAUAUUGGACAAUGGAGGAAACUCUGAUCCAGCCAUGCCGCGUGAAGGAAGGAGGUCCUAUGGAUCGUAAACUUCUUUUGCCACAGAGCAAUAAGGUCCACGAGUGGAUUGAUGAGAGUAUGUGGCGAAUAAGCAUCGGCUAACUCCGUGCCAGCAGCCGCGGUAAUACGGGGGAUGCAAGCGUUAUCCGGAUUUAUUGGGUUUAAAGGGUGCGUAGGCUGACUUUCAAGUCGGUGGUGAAAAGCCGGGGCUCAACCCCGGGAGUGCCGCCGAAACUGAGAGACUAGAAUUCGGAUGCCGUGGGAGGAAUGAGUAGUGUAGCGGUGAAAUGCAUAGAUAUUACUCAGAACACCGAUUGCGAAGGCAUCUCACGAAUCCGAGAUUGACGCUGAGGCACGAAAGCGUGGGUAUCAAACAGGCUUAGAUACCCCAGUAGUC